This 254-nucleotide ribosomal RNA is filed under the name uncultured bacterium. RNAcentral's name for it is "partial 16S ribosomal RNA". It matches the Rfam family "Bacterial small subunit ribosomal RNA", at positions 524 to 776 of the family's 1533-position model. The record is from RNAcentral.
UACGUAGGGCGCAAGCGUUUAUCCGGAAUUAUUGGGCGUAAAGAGCUCGUAGGCGGUUUGUCGCGUCUGCCGUGAAAGUCCGGGGCUCAACUCCGGAUCUGCGGUGGGUACGGGCAGACUAGAGUGAUGUAGGGGAGACUGGAAUUCCUGGUGUAGCGGUGAAAUGCGCAGAUAUCAGGAGGAACACCGAUGGCGAAGGCAGGUCUCUGGGCCGUAACUGACGCUGAGGAGCGAAAGCGUGGGGAGCGAACAGG